ACGAAGGGUGCAAGCGUUAUCCGGAUUCAUUGGGUUUAAAGGGUGCGUAGGUGGGGCGAUAAGUCAGUGGUGAAAUCCUGCAGCUUAACUGUAGAAUUGCCAUUGAUACUGUCGCUCUUGAGUACGCUUGACGUGGGCGGAAUGUGCCGUGUAGCGGUGAAAUGCUUAGAUAUGGCACAGAACACCGAUAGUGAAGACAGCUCACGAAGGCGAAACUGACACUGAGGCACGAAAGCGUGGGGAUCGAACAGGAUUAGAUACCCUGGUAGUCCACGCCGUAAACGAUGAUCACUCGUGAUUGGCGAUAUACGGUCAGUCACCUAGCGAAAGCGUUAAGUGAUCCACCUGGGGAGUACGAUCGCAAGAUUG
RNAcentral lists this ribosomal RNA (369 nucleotides) under uncultured bacterium. RNAcentral describes it as "bacterial SSU rRNA". It matches the Rfam family "Bacterial small subunit ribosomal RNA", at positions 525 to 896 of the family's 1533-position model. The record is from RNAcentral.